AGUUUAACUGGGGCGGUUGCCUCCCAAAAUGUAACGGAGGCGCCCAAAGGUUCCCUCAGCCUGGUUGGCAAUCAGGUGUUGAGUGUAAGUGCACAAGGGAGCUUGACUGUGAGACUGACAGGUCGAGCAGGGACGAAAGUCGGGACUAGUGAUCCGGCACUGGCUUGUGGAAGCGGUGUCGCUCAACGGAUAAAAGGUACCCCGGGGAUAACAGGCUGAUCUUCCCCAAGAGUCCAUAUCGACGGGAUGGUUUGGCACCUCGAUGUCGGCUCGUCGCAUCCUGGGGCUGGAGUAGGUCCCAAGGGUUGGGCUGUUCGCCCAUUAAAGUGGCACGCGAGCUGGGUUCAGAACGUCGCAAGACAGUUCGGUCUCUAUCUGUUGUGGGCGUAGGAAUAUUGAGGAGUGCUGACACUAGUACGAGAGGACCGUGUUGGACGUACCUCUGGUGUAUCUGUUGUGACGCCAGUUGCAGUGCAGAGUAGCUACGUACGGAAUGGAUAAGUGCUGAAAGCAUCUAAGCACGAAGCCAUCUCCAAGAUGAGUAUUCCAUUGGACUUCGGUCCUAAAAGGAUCCCCAAAGAUUAUGGGGUUGAUAGGCUAUAGAUGGAAGGCAUGUGAAUGCUGGAGUCGAGUAGUACUAAUUAUCCGAA
This 650-nucleotide ribosomal RNA is filed under the name Ochromonas sp. CCMP1393. RNAcentral describes it as "partial Bacterial large subunit ribosomal RNA". It matches the Rfam family "Bacterial large subunit ribosomal RNA", at positions 2267 to 2913 of the family's 2925-position model. Lineage: Eukaryota; Chrysophyceae; Chromulinales; Chromulinaceae. The record is from RNAcentral.